AUCUCUCUCUCGCUCGCGUUUAGAUUCAACUAACUCAUUGAUUUAUCACUUUUUUCUCUCUCUCUGUGAGACAGAGAUCAGUGUGUGGAUCAUCGAUGCAGCGAUUGAAGUUCGAUUGCUCGUGCCGAUGAAGGCCAUUCGUGAAUGGAAUUGUCACGAGAGUACUUGACUGUUUGAAUUUCGGUAAUGAUCGUCGUACUAAUGCCGGUGAGCGUGGCAUCCAUCAUCGUCUUUUUCGGUCUUGAUAAGUGGCUUAACUUGCGCGUGACUUCCGUACUCUCACGAGUCGAGUCGAGUCGUAUCGAGAGUCGAUUGUGUUUCGAGUUGAAUCGCGACGCUGUCAUGCUUCAUUCGUAAAAAGUAUCGCGUUCGGACAAUUCCUAAUCGGUUUUGUCUCUCGCGAAUGAUGAAGAGAGAGGAGAAAAGAAAGUCUAAUCGUCUUUCUUGACGCGUUGUCAUUACGUUUGCGAGUCUCUUUCGGAUUCUCGCUAUUCGAGGCUCGAGGAAUCUCUUUGUCCAAAGUGAACUAUGACAGAGUUAAAUUGCGAUAGCCGGCGGUGGCUGUGUGUGCGUAUGUGAGAUCAGAAUUCAGGAGAAUUCAGGGAAUGGACCACAAGUGCAGCGAAACUGCCAAGUACAGUCGGCUGUUGUGCAACUAAGUGCAUCAGCUGGUCAUCGAGGUUGUCGAACAAACGUAAUUGGCGUCGUCAUCACUCAUGAAGACUUCAAGUUUACAGAAUUACGGAACAUCCAGACAAUUGGGAAGUUGUCGGACGCCGAGUUUGCCACGUCGUCUAGGGGUAAAAAUGGGAACACGAGCGAUCUACAGCAACCUCGUGCAGAAAGACACCGCCCUUACCGACGACAUGGAGUCGCUAUCAUUAAAAUCAGACACGGAGUCUUCGAUUGUCAUUAUCCGCACGAUCAACGGAAUCUCCUCUACCGGAAGCAUACGUGCUCAACGCUGACAUCCGUACAGAUGACGAGACGUUCCGUGUGCCGGAGGACGAGUCGAUGUCCGCUUCCUUAGCAGCGCGUCUUGAAGAGUUGUCGUUUGCCGAGGAACGAAUCCUGCAGACGAUUAAGUUGGAAAGGAGCCACGGUGGCAGCAUAGGGUUACAAGUGACAGAGGGUAACGAUGGUGGCGUCUAUGUCCAAGCGGUGUCGGUAGGAGGAUCGGCCGAUAUGGCCGGAAACGUGAACAAUGGUAAGCCUGAAGCGACAUUC
Long non-coding RNA from Bombus pascuorum, 1227 nucleotides. RefSeq lists it as uncharacterized. Lineage: Eukaryota; Metazoa; Arthropoda; Insecta; Hymenoptera; Apidae. The record is from RefSeq and is a predicted model, not a curated record. The transcript is spliced from 3 exons.